ACAGAGGGAGGGGCAGCCUCGAUCUCGCACAAAGGAGACUAUAAAAGGAGCUGCGGUGAACCGGGCUCGUUCUUUUACGACGGAGCCUAAGAUAUUCUUUGUCUUGUCGAUGGAGGGGAGCCCAAAGCAUCUGAGAGAAUUGAUAAAUGAAAGAAACAUGCUUAAAACAUGACCGUUUUAAAGGGUGUGUAUUGAAGCCUAGAUUUUUUCCCUUGUAAGCAUGCAAACAUACCGUUGUGAAGUAAGAAUCCGGGUUCCUGGAAAUGUAUUGUGAAGUAGUCCUGGCCAAACUACUCUGGCCUUUGCAAUUUGGAGUGACUGUUGUGAAUGCAUGGUGUACAAAUUGAUUGUACAAACAGUUGUGAGACAUACCGGGUCAGAACAGUGAUGAAAUACAUCCCGAAGAUGAUGACCUGAAGAUAAAUGCAGCUUCUGAGAGAAGACCAUUGUGUUUAAGUGGUAGUCUUGUUAAUGCAGUUCUUACUCAUAGCAUGUCAUGGUACCUCUUUCUGUAGUGAAUGCUGACCAGUGAGAUGCCAGCCUGCGUGUGAAGAUCCUACAGCAGAAGUGCAUGGCCAGUGACACAAGAACUUGCGAGAGAUGCCAGUCCGCCUGUGAAGAUCCUGCAGCAGGAGUGCAUAGCCAGUGACACAAGACGUGCGAAUGAAAACUAGAUGUGACCAUCCAGAAAAAGCAUAGACAAAAAAAUGCAGUCUUAGUACUGGGAUGUUUGAGAUGGGGUCUAUCUACAUGUCUCUAGCUGUCCCUAUCAGGACAGCAUCUGGUGUGGCCUGCAGAGUUGAUUCCUGUACUUUUUUUUUUUUGUGGGCUGUAUGUAAAUGGAUUGUUUUGACAAUCCAUUCGACAGUGUUCUCUUCUGUGAAGGUCAUAGGUGAGCUGAUUGACAGACACAGCUGUACAGACUGAAUGCAAUCCUGACUAUAAAGCUGCAGUUCAUCAUUAUGAGCUAUUUCCUUAUUCUGGCAGUGAUUGAAAUAAAAUGGGGAGUAUUGAAAUAAAAAACAUUCAAUUGCAAA
RNAcentral lists this long non-coding RNA (1037 nucleotides) under Mus musculus (house mouse). RNAcentral describes it as "small nucleolar RNA host gene 5". Lineage: Eukaryota; Metazoa; Chordata; Mammalia; Rodentia; Muridae. The record is from RNAcentral.